AGAGUUUGAUCCUGGCUCAGGACGAACGCUGGCGGUGCGCCUUAUGCAUGCAAGUCGAGUGAAGCUUUUCAGUAGUUUACUACAGAAAAUGACUGAGCGGCGAACGGGUGAGUAACGCGUGAGCAAUCUACCUUAGUUACAGGGAUAGCCCGAGGAAACUCGGAUUAAUACCUGAUAUUCUUUUUAUCUCGCAUGAGAUUUUAAGGAAAGGUCAGCCGAACUAAGAUGAGCUCGCGUUCUAUCAGCUAGUUGGUGAGGUAAUAGCUCACCAAGGCUACGACGGAUAGCUGGUCUGAGAGGACGAUCAGCCACACCGGGACUGAGACACGGCCCAGACUCCUACGGGAGGCUGCAGCAGGGAAUAUUGCGCAAUGAGCGAAAGCUUGACGCAGCGACACCGCGUGUGGGAUGACGGAUCUAGGUUUGUAAACCACUUUCAGGAGGGAAGAAAAUGACGGUACCUCCACAAGAAGCCCCGGCCAACUACGUGCCAGCAGCCGCGGUAAUACGUAGGGGGCGAGCGUUGUCCGGAUUUAUUGGGCGUAAAGAGCUCGUAGGCGGUUCAACAAGUCGGUCGUGAAAGUUCAGGGCUCAACCCUGAAAUGUCGAUCGAUACUGUUGUGACUAGGAUACGGUAGAGGUGAGUGGAAUUCCGAGUGUAGCGGUGAAAUGCGUAGAUAUUCGGAGGAACACCAAUUGCGAAGGCAGCUCACUGGGCCGCUAUCGACGCUGAGGAGCGAAAGCUAGGGGAGCAAACAGGAUUAGAUACCCUGGUAGUCCUAGCUGUAAACGAUGGAUACUAGACGUAGGAACUGGAUUGACGGUUUCUGUGUCGUAGCUAACGCGUUAAGUAUCCCGCCUGGGGAGUACGGUCGCAAGACUAAAACUCAAAGGAAUUGACGG
This 903-nucleotide ribosomal RNA is filed under the name uncultured marine bacterium. Its description in RNAcentral is "bacterial SSU rRNA". It matches the Rfam family "Bacterial small subunit ribosomal RNA", at positions 8 to 916 of the family's 1533-position model. The record is from RNAcentral.